GGGCGCAUGGUGUAGUUGGUUAUCACAUCCGCUUAGCAUCGAGUUCCGUUGUUUGCGGGGGGUGCUGGGUUCAAUUCCCAGUGCGUCCA
This is a non-coding RNA of Steccherinum ochraceum, 89 nucleotides long. NCBI's taxonomy places the organism in Eukaryota, Fungi, Basidiomycota, Agaricomycetes, Polyporales, Steccherinaceae. The record is from the annotation of a GenBank genome assembly.